This 86-nucleotide transfer RNA is filed under the name Felis catus (domestic cat). It matches the Rfam family "tRNA". Rfam says of the family: Transfer RNA (tRNA) molecules are approximately 80 nucleotides in length. Their secondary structure includes four short double-helical elements and three loops (D, anti-codon, and T loops). Lineage: Eukaryota; Metazoa; Chordata; Mammalia; Carnivora; Felidae. The record is from Rfam by way of RNAcentral.
GCCUGGGUGGCUCAGUCGGUUAAGCUUCUGACUUGGGCUCAGGUCAUGAUCUCAUGGUUUUGUGGGUUCGAGCCCCACGUCGGGCU